This 2198-nucleotide long non-coding RNA is filed under the name Prunus persica (peach). Its description in RNAcentral is "long non-coding RNA (PPER_LNC003284)". Lineage: Eukaryota; Viridiplantae; Streptophyta; Magnoliopsida; Rosales; Rosaceae. The record is from RNAcentral.
GAGCAUAACCUUAUAGUUUCAAAACAUGAGAAAUUAGAAAGAAAUUUAGAGAGAAGAAGAAUUGUUAAGAAAAAGAGUGGGAGACUGAGUUUGUGGAUGCGGUGAAUUUCGUGAGCAUUAUGUUAUGCGUGGUACAGUUUUGUGAAAUUUAAGGUGUUUAAUUAAAUAGACGAAAUUCGUGAUUUACUUAAUUAGAUUGACUUAAUUAGAUUGACGGAAUUCGUGAUUUAUACUUAAAUUGCUACAAUUAUGAAACUACAAAGGCACAAUUGACCAAAUUUAAACUACAUGGACCAAAAGUGAAAGGAAAAAAAAAAAAAAAGCCCAAACUACAAGGACCAAAAGUGACUUUUGACCAUUAAAUUUCUACAUGUGAAAUAGAAUAAAACCUCAAACAUAAUUACCAAAAGACUUCUUAAACUAUUUUCAAUUCAUUCAAAAACACGAAAAUUGAAGAACUAACUAAAUAGAUAGAUAAACAAGGGCAGAGCAUAAAAAAAUGAAAGAGGUGAAGAAGUAAGUAGAGAGAAUUGACACAAUUAAUAUAUUUUAAAAAAAUAAAGUCUAUUAAAAUUAACUUUUAUUUUCAACAUCAUUAUAGAAAUAACCAAAAAAAAAAAAAUUCCUUUACCGUAUUUUCUUUUUAAUUAAGAAAAGGAAAAAAAAAAAAAGAGGUUAUCGACAUAUUUAUAAAAUCUACAAUUAUCCUCUUAAUUUGAACAUAAGAUUCAUUGAACUAUCCAAAUUUGGUAAUUUCCAUCCUCAUUUGGAAAAAUAAUCAAAUGACGUCAUGUUCAUGGCAAAGGAGGGAAAACUGAAAAAGGCAAAACAAAUAUUAUUAAAAAUGAGCAAAGCUUGUGUGUUUUCCAUAAACCUGUCGUUCAUCCCAAAAAACAAAACGUGUAUUUUUCCAAUUUGAAAAUUUGAAAUCUUAUUAUAAAAUUAUUUUUAGCUGGGAGGGCCUGCCGCUUUCAUUAUUAUGGUGCUAAUUAUGGGCUGACGUGAAUUUACCCAAGUUAACUUAUUUACACGCCAUUCUAUGGAUGCCGUACUUGUGGGAUUUCUCCGGUUAUGGAAGCUCUAUAAUUAGGAUGAUGUCAACCUUUCAGUUUGUGAAAUUCCCAAAAUACCCCAAUGCCUUAGCACUGCAUUACAGCCCAUUAUGUUUUGGCAAUUAUUCUCCUAUGAAAUUAUUGUAUACAUCGUGCAGUGCACACAAUGUGUCUGAGUCUUACUCGUAAAAAACGCAACAAAUAGUCUCAAACAAUGGAUUAUGUGUUUCACAUAAAUAAAUAUAAGUCUUAGGGGUAGUUUAGUAUGACGGAUUGUCAUUAACUGGACUAAAUAUUAAUAUUGUCUUGGAUUGACUUGACUCGGCAUAAGCUCGAUAACACUAGUAAAGCGUUUGGUGUAUGUUUGAUUGGACUAGGACUAAUUUUUUUGACAUUUUUUCUCUCUCCAUCUCUUUCCUCAUUUUCCUCUCUGCUUCACUUUCUUCUUCUUCUGUCUACUUUUCUUUUCUUUCUUUUUUCCAAAAAUUUUCUCUCCUCUUCCUAGUUUUUUUUCGAAAAUUUUCUCUCAUCUUCUCAGUUUUUUUCAAAAUUUUUAUCUCAUCUUCUUCUCCAUUUUCUCUCCACCCAUAUUUUUAUGCCUUAAAAUUCAUCUCAUCUCAACAUACCCAUUGGGCUGGGCAAUGUCUUACGAGUUGCAAACGCUAGCAAGUGCACGGGACAAUUAGUCCCUCCAUCCCACGCGGGUUUCACUAAGAACACCUAAGGAGGUGUUUUUGAUGGGCCCGGGAUCACCAAUCCCACUUAAGUUUAGAAUUGCAUGACAACAAACAUGAGAUAAAUUAUUAUCCAAGCUAGUCCAAGCUAAGGAGGUGUAACAAACUUUCAGCGGUUUUGUCCCUUGAACUAUUUGCAUAUUGUCAAUUUAACUUUUUACAAAUUUUUCAGUAAAUUAAGGACUUCAAUUGUUUAAAGAUCGCCAAUUGAGAGCCUAUUGUCAAUUUUUUCAAAAAAUAUAAUUCAUAACUUAAUGGUUUUUAAAAAAAAUAAAAUAAAAACUUCACCUACCUAGCCCCACCCUCGAUGCACUUCCACCCUUCUUGCCCCCCUCUGUCUCUCUCGCCCCUCCCAUCUAAACCCACCCACCUCCACCACGCCUCAUCGCCACCCGCCUCCACCCCACCCUAG